AUUGAACGCUGGCGGCAUGCCUUACACAUGCAAGUCGAACGGCAGCACGGGUGCUUGCACCUGGUGGCGAGUGGCGAACGGGUGAGUAAUACAUCGGAACACGUCCUGUAGUGGGGGAUAGCCCGGCGAAAGCCGGAUUAAUACCGCAUACGAUCUACGGAUGACAGCGGGGGACCUUCGGGCCUCGCGCUAUAGGGUUGGCCGAUGGCUGAUUAGCUAGUUGGUGGGGUAAAGGCCUACCAAGGCGACGAUCAGUAGCUGGUCUGAGAGGACGACCGGCCACACGGGGACUGAGACACGGCCCAGACUCCUACGGGAGGCAGCAGUGGGGAAUUUUGGACAAUGGGCGAAAGCCUGAUCCAGCAAUGCCGCGUGUGUGAAGAAGGCCUUCGGGUUGUAAAGCACUUUUGUCCGGAAAGAAAUCCUUGGCCCUAAUACGGUCGGGGGAUGACGGUACCGGAAGAAUAAGCACCGGCUAACUACGUG
This 486-nucleotide ribosomal RNA is filed under the name uncultured bacterium. Its description in RNAcentral is "partial 16S ribosomal RNA". It matches the Rfam family "Bacterial small subunit ribosomal RNA", at positions 29 to 507 of the family's 1533-position model. The record is from RNAcentral.